AUACGGAGGGUGCAAGCGUUAUUCGGAAUCACUGGGCGUAAAGGACACGUAGGCGGGAAGCCAAGUCUGAUGUGAAAUCCUACAGCUUAACUGUAGAACUGCAUUGGAAACUGGUUACCUAGAGUAUGGGAGGGGGAGAUGGAAUUAGUGGUGUAGGGGUAAAAUCCGUAGAUAUCUCUAGGAAUACCUAAAGCGAAGGCGAUCUCCUGGAACAUUACUGACGCUAAGGUGUGAAAGCGUGGGGAGCAAACGGGAUUAGAAACCCUAGUAGUCC
This 274-nucleotide ribosomal RNA is filed under the name uncultured bacterium. RNAcentral's name for it is "partial 16S ribosomal RNA". It matches the Rfam family "Bacterial small subunit ribosomal RNA", at positions 523 to 796 of the family's 1533-position model. The record is from RNAcentral.